Non-coding RNA from Heterocephalus glaber (naked mole-rat), 1234 nucleotides. The record is from RefSeq and is a predicted model, not a curated record. NCBI's taxonomy places the organism in Eukaryota, Metazoa, Chordata, Mammalia, Rodentia, Bathyergidae.
GGUCGGGUGCUGCUCUGCGAGGUUCCUGAGGCCAACUCCUGUGAUGCCCGUUGCCCUGCUGCAAGUACAGGCCGGGGCCUGCCAGAGGCUUAUGUCACCUGUGCGCGUGGUGACAUCGAGGGCGGGACCCACGUGAGCAACCUCAGCAACCUGCAGGCAGGUCUUCAAGAUCCUGGGCGCUGAGAAGGGGAAGCAGAAGACCAACUUGUUCUUUUUGACCGGGCACCUUGUGCUGCCCUGGGUGGAGUGGAGUCAGGGAUUGAAAAGGCUCUGACCACCUACGCAAGUACUGUACCUCCCAUCCCGGUCCCUGUUGGUGGCCCUGUCUGUUCUCCAGGGCCUGGACUUCCUUAGCUCUGCCCCUUGCUAACAUUUGGUUACCAUAAAACGAAAUUUUAAUUUUUAGGUAACUUACAAAAAAAUUAAAACUAUUUAAACGAAAGGAGUUAUUUUGUGCAGUCUCACAAAAUUAAAUAUGUGCGACAGUUUUACAGAUUUAUUGCAACACUCAAUUCCAGUAUUUCAAUAUACUUAAGGCUCUGAAUCAUUUUUCUGUUGCUACUUAGCUAAGUGACUUGAACUGCUUGCUAUAUGGUCUUCAAAAGAAAAUUACUGUGUAGCCAGCAGUCUCAGAUUUUGGGUUGACCUAGCCAGGACUUGGAGUGAGAACGGGUGUCUCAUUUUCAGUUCUAAUUUGUCUACAGAUAUACUUACACAGCUCAAGGAGGGACAGAGAGCCAAAGCUCAGUGACUAACGCAAGUCUAUCAAGUUGACUUUGUAGUCAAGUCCACGAUGGUCAAAGGCCUCACUGCCAGUGCACACACGUUGGCUGCCAGAACUGUGAACAGGUGAUGGACUAGAGAAACCAGCAAGCAAAAAAUUUGUAGUGAGGAACGAGAUUUCCAACAAACAGCUUGGGCUUCAAAAUGAGUCUUCUGACAAUUUUUUUUUCUCUCAUUCUCAAGCUGUUAUGACUAAAUUUUCAUCCCAGAGAAAGAAAGCAUUCCAGAUCUUUCUUGAAGAUCUGUAUUAGAGCUCUUAUGAAAUAUCACUCCCUCCUGUUUUUUUUUUUCUCCUCUUGGCACUCCUUGAAUAGCUAUUGCUGGAGGAAAGAUGAAAAUUAUUUAAAAAUUUAUGUAUUAUUUCUCAUUAGAGUCAGAAUAUCCCUGUAGCUGCUGACACUUGAGCUGAAUUAGGAGCAACAGAUGAGGAAUUUGUAACCAAGCAAACCUC